RNAcentral lists this ribosomal RNA (157 nucleotides) under Penicillium canescens. RNAcentral describes it as "5.8S ribosomal RNA". It matches the Rfam family "5.8S ribosomal RNA". Rfam says of the family: 5.8S ribosomal RNA (5.8S rRNA) is a component of the large subunit of the eukaryotic ribosome. It is transcribed by RNA polymerase I as part of the 45S precursor that also contains 18S and 28S rRNA. The record is from RNAcentral. Lineage: Eukaryota; Fungi; Ascomycota; Eurotiomycetes; Eurotiales; Aspergillaceae.
AAACUUUCAACAACGGAUCUCUUGGUUCCGGCAUCGAUGAAGAACGCAGCGAAAUGCGAUACGUAAUGUGAAUUGCAGAAUUCAUUGAAUCAUCGAGUCUUUGAACGCACAUUGCGCCCCCUGGUAUUCCGGGGGGCAUGCCUGUCCGAGCGUCAUU